This is a non-coding RNA of Caenorhabditis elegans, 77 nucleotides long. Lineage: Eukaryota; Metazoa; Nematoda; Chromadorea; Rhabditida; Rhabditidae. The record is from Ensembl.
GAACGGCGUAUUUGUUUGUGCACUACUUGUGGCAUUGUAUGUAACACCCAGUACAAACAUAAGUUCUAAAAGGAUCG